GGUUAAGCGACUAAGCGUACACGGUGGAUGCCCUGGCAGUCAGAGGCGAUGAAGGACGUGCUAAUCUGCGAUAAGCGUCGGUAAGGUGAUAUGAACCGUUAUAACCGGCGAUUUCCGAAUGGGGAAACCCAGUGUGAUUCGUCACACUAUCAUUAACUGAAUCCAUAGGUUAAUGAGGCGAACCGGGGGAACUGAAACAUCUAAGUACCCCGAGGAAAAGAAAUCAACCGAGAUUCCCCCAGUAGCGGCGAGCGAACGGGGAGCAGCCCAGAGCCUGAAUCAGUGUGUGUGUUAGUGGAAGCGUCUGGAAAGGCGCGCGAUACAGGGUGACAGCCCCGUACACAAAAAUGCACAUGCUGUGAGCUCGAUGAGUAGGGCGGGAUACGUGGUAUCCUGUCUGAAUAUGGGGGGACCAUCCUCCAAGGCUAAAUACUCCUGACUGACCGAUAGUGAACCAGUACCGUGAGGGAAAGGCGAAAAGAACCCCGGCGAGGGGAGUGAAAAAGAACCUGAAACCGUGUACGUACAAGCAGUGGGAGCACGCUUAGGCGUGUGACUGCGUACCUUUGUAUAAUGGGUCAGCGACUUAUAUUCUGUAGCAAGGUUAACCGAAUAGGGACCCGAAGGGAAACCGAGUCUUAACUGGGCGUUAAGUUGCAGGGUAUAGACCCGAAACCCGGUGAUCUAGCCAUGGGCAGGUUGAAGGUUGGGUAACACUAACUGGAGGACCGAACCGACUAAUGUUGAAAAAUUAGCGGAUGACUUGUGGCUGGGGGUGAAAGGCCAAUCAAACCGGGAGAUAGCUGGUUCUCCCGAAAGCUAUUUAGGUAGCGCCUCGUGAACUCAUCUCCGGGGUAGAGCACUGUUUCGGCAAGGGGUCAUCCCGACUUACCAACCCGAUGCAAACUGCGAAUACCGGAGAAUGUUAUCACGGGAGACACACGGCGGGUGCUAACGUCCGUCGUGAAGAGGGAAACAACCCAGACCGCCAGCUAAGGUCCCAAAGUCAUGGUUAAGUGGGAAACGAUGUGGGAAGGCCCAGACAGCCAGGAUGUUGGCUUAGAAGCAGCCAUCAUUUAAAGAAAGCGUAAUAGCUCACUGGUCGAGUCGGCCUGCGCGGAAGAUGUAACGGGGCUAAACCAUGCACCGAAGCUGCGGCAGCGACGCUUAUGCGUUGUUGGGUAGGGGAGCGUUCUGUAAGCCUGUGAAGGUGUGCUGUGAGGCAUGCUGGAGGUAUCAGAAGUGCGAAUGCUGACAUAAGUAACGAUAAAGCGGGUGAAAAGCCCGCUCGCCGGAAGACCAAGGGUUCCUGUCCAACGUUAAUCGGGGCAGGGUGAGUCGACCCCUAAGGCGAGGCCGAAAGGCGUAGUCGAUGGGAAACAGGUUAAUAUUCCUGUACUUGGUGUUACUGCGAAGGGGGGACGGAGAAGGCUAUGUUGGCCGGGCGACGGUUGUCCCGGUUUAAGCGUGUAGGCUGGUUUUCCAGGCAAAUCCGGAAAAUCAAGGCUGAGGCGUGAUGACGAGGCACUACGGUGCUGAAGCAACAAAUGCCCUGCUUCCAGGAAAAGCCUCUAAGCAUCAGGUAACAUCAAAUCGUACCCCAAACCGACACAGGUGGUCAGGUAGAGAAUACCAAGGCGCUUGAGAGAACUCGGGUGAAGGAACUAGGCAAAAUGGUGCCGUAACUUCGGGAGAAGGCACGCUGAUAUGUAGGUGAAGUCCCUCGCGGAUGGAGCUGAAAUCAGUCGAAGAUACCAGCUGGCUGCAACUGUUUAUUAAAAACACAGCACUGUGCAAACACGAAAGUGGACGUAUACGGUGUGACGCCUGCCCGGUGCCGGAAGGUUAAUUGAUGGGGUCAGCGCAAGCGAAGCUCUUGAUCGAAGCCCCGGUAAACGGCGGCCGUAACUAUAACGGUCCUAAGGUAGCGAAAUUCCUUGUCGGGUAAGUUCCGACCUGCACGAAUGGCGUAAUGAUGGCCAGGCUGUCUCCACCCGAGACUCAGUGAAAUUGAACUCGCUGUGAAGAUGCAGUGUACCCGCGGCAAGACGGAAAGACCCCGUGAACCUUUACUAUAGCUUGACACUGAACAUUGAGCCUUGAUGUGUAGGAUAGGUGGGAGGCUUAGAAGUGUGGACGCCAGUCUGCAUGGAGCCGACCUUGAAAUACCACCCUUUAAUGUUUGAUGUUCUAACGUUGACCCGUAAUCCGGGUUGCGGACAGUGUCUGGUGGGUAGUUUGACUGGGGCGGUCUCCUCCUAAAGAGUAACGGAGGAGCACGAAGGUUGGCUAAUCCUGGUCGGACAUCAGGAGGUUAGUGCAAUGGCAUAAGCCAGCUUGACUGCGAGCGUGACGGCGCGAGCAGGUGCGAAAGCAGGUCAUAGUGAUCCGGUGGUUCUGAAUGGAAGGGCCAUCGCUCAACGGAUAAAAGGUACUCCGGGGAUAACAGGCUGAUACCGCCCAAGAGUUCAUAUCGACGGCGGUGUUUGGCACCUCGAUGUCGGCUCAUCACAUCCUGGGGCUGAAGUAGGUCCCAAGGGUAUGGCUGUUCGCCAUUUAAAGUGGUACGCGAGCUGGGUUUAGAACGUCGUGAGACAGUUCGGUCCCUAUCUGCCGUGGGCGCUGGAGAACUGAGGGGGGCUGCUCCUAGUACGAGAGGACCGGAGUGGACGCAUCACUGGUGUUCGGGUUGUCAUGCCAAUGGCACUGCCCGGUAGCUAAAUGCGGAAGAGAUAAGUGCUGAAAGCAUCUAAGCACGAAACUUGCCCCGAGAUGAGUUCUCCUGACUCCUUGAGAGUCCUGAAGGAACGUUGAAGACGACGACGUUGAUAGGCCGGGUGUGUAAGCGCAGCGAUGCGUUGAGCUAACCGGUACUAAUGAACCGUGAGGCUUAACCUU
Molecule: ribosomal RNA, 2898 nt
Filed under: Escherichia coli
Lineage: Bacteria; Pseudomonadati; Pseudomonadota; Gammaproteobacteria; Enterobacterales; Enterobacteriaceae
Description: 23S ribosomal RNA
Rfam family: Bacterial large subunit ribosomal RNA
Source: RNAcentral